Alosa sapidissima (American shad) is the source of this 149-nucleotide long non-coding RNA. RefSeq lists it as uncharacterized. The record is from RefSeq and is a predicted model, not a curated record. NCBI's taxonomy places the organism in Eukaryota, Metazoa, Chordata, Actinopteri, Clupeiformes, Clupeidae. The transcript has 3 exons.
GCCGUGGUUACGUCCAGCUCCUUGUCUCCACAAGCCCUCGCCGGCUACAAAUUGUGUCUGCGUGUUUCAAUGAAAAUUCACCGGUUUAGAGUGUGACCGCUAACUUGCUGAGUGCUUUUUGUUGUGCUGAGAGUUUUGGCCUGGGUAUG